RNAcentral lists this ribosomal RNA (440 nucleotides) under uncultured bacterium. RNAcentral describes it as "bacterial SSU rRNA". It matches the Rfam family "Bacterial small subunit ribosomal RNA", at positions 338 to 775 of the family's 1533-position model. The record is from RNAcentral.
CCUACGGGAGGCAGCAGUGAGGAAUAUUGGACAAUGGGCGAGAGCCUGAUCCAGCCAUGCCGCGUGCAGGAAGACUGCCCUAUGGGUUGUAAACUGCUUUUACAGAGGAAGAACCACCCCCACGUGUGGGGGUUUGACGGUACUCUGCGAAUAAGGAUCGGCUAACUCCGUGCCAGCAGCCGCGGUAAUACGGAGGAUCCAAGCGUUAUCCGGAAUCAUUGGGUUUAAAGGGUCCGUAGGCGGGCAGUUAAGUCAGUGGUGAAAGUCUUCCGCUCAACGGGAGAACUGCCAUUGAUACUGAUUGUCUUGAGUUAUUAUGAAGUGGUUAGAAUGAGUAGUGUAGCGGUGAAAUGCAUAGAUAUUACUCAGAAUACCGAUUGCGAAGGCAGAUCACUAAUAAUAUACUGACGCUGAUGGACGAAAGCGUAGGUAGCGAACAG